This 253-nucleotide ribosomal RNA is filed under the name uncultured bacterium. Its description in RNAcentral is "partial 16S ribosomal RNA". It matches the Rfam family "Bacterial small subunit ribosomal RNA", at positions 524 to 776 of the family's 1533-position model. The record is from RNAcentral.
UACGUAGGUGGCAAGCGUUGUCCGGAUUUAUUGGGUUUAAAGGGUGCGUAGGCGGCCCUGUAAGUCAGUGCUGAAAUAUCCCAGCUUAACUGGGAGGGUGGCAUUGAUACUGCGGGGCUAGAGUACAGAUGAGGUAGGCGGAAUUGACGGUGUAGCGGUGAAAUGCUUAGAUAUCGUCAAGAACACCUAUAGCGAAGGCAGCUUACUAGGCUGUAACUGACGCUGAGGCCCGAAAGGGUGGGGAUCAAACAGG